Molecule: ribosomal RNA, 998 nt
Filed under: Escherichia coli
Lineage: Bacteria; Pseudomonadati; Pseudomonadota; Gammaproteobacteria; Enterobacterales; Enterobacteriaceae
Description: partial 23S ribosomal RNA
Rfam family: Bacterial large subunit ribosomal RNA
Source: RNAcentral
GGGUUGUGAGGUUAAGCGACUAAGCGUACACGGUGGAUGCCCUGGCAGUCAGAGGCGAUGAAGGACGUGCUAAUCUGCGAUAAGCGUCGGUGAGGUGAUAUGAACCGUUAUAACCGGCGAUUUCCGAAUGGGGAAACCCAGUGUGUUUCGACACACUAUCAUUAACUGAAUCCAUAGGUUAAUGAGGCGAACCGGGGGAACUGAAACAUCUAAGUACCCCGAGGAAAAGAAAUCAACCGAGAUUCCCCCAGUAGCGGCGAGCGAACGGGGAGGAGCCCAGAGCCUGAAUCAGUGUGUGUGUUAGUGGAAGCGUCUGGAAAGGCGUGCGAUACAGGGUGACAGCCCCGUACACAAAAAUGCACAUAUUGUGAGCUCGAUGAGUAGGGCGGGACACGUGGUAUCCUGUCUGAAUAUGGGGGGACCAUCCUCCAAGGCUAAAUACUCCUGACUGACCGAUAGUGAACCAGUACCGUGAGGGAAAGGCGAAAAGAACCCCGGCGAGGGGAGUGAAAAAGAACCUGAAACCGUGUACGUACAAGCAGUGGGAGCCUCUUAAUGGGGUGACUGCGUACCUUUUGUAUAAUGGGUCAGCGACUUAUAUUCUGUAGCAAGGUUAACCGAAUAGGGGAGCCGAAGGGAAACCGAGUCUUAACUGGGCGUUAAGUUGCAGGGUAUAGACCCGAAACCCGGUGAUCUAGCCAUGGGCAGGUUGAAGGUUGGGUAACACUAACUGGAGGACCGAACCGACUAAUGUUGAAAAAUUAGCGGAUGACUUGUGGCUGGGGGUGAAAGGCCAAUCAAACCGGGAGAUAGCUGGUUCUCCCCGAAAGCUAUUUAGGUAGCGCCUCGUGAAUUCAUCUCCGGGGGUAGAGCACUGUUUCGGCAAGGGGGUCAUCCCGACUUACCAACCCGAUGCAAACUGCGAAUACCGGAGAAUGUUAUCACGGGAGACACACGGCGGGUGCUAACGUCCGUCGUGAAGAGGGAAACAACCCAGA